GUGCAUUCUUUAAAAACCCCCCACAAGCUGCCUGUCGCUUUUUGGGACAAGAAAGAAUGCGAGAGAAAAACCAAGAACUAUCCAAAGCUAAAUGUCUGUGCAGUGACUUCUGGCUAUUUCACCUCUUGAACAUUG
This is a small nucleolar RNA of Megalobrama amblycephala (Wuchang bream), 135 nucleotides long. RefSeq annotates it as small nucleolar RNA SNORA14. NCBI's taxonomy places the organism in Eukaryota, Metazoa, Chordata, Actinopteri, Cypriniformes, Xenocyprididae. The record is from RefSeq and is a predicted model, not a curated record. The transcript has a single exon.